GACGAACGCUGGCGGCGUGCCUAAUACAUGCAAGUAGAACGCUGAAGGAGGAGCUUGCUUCUCCGGAUGAGUUGCGAACGGGUGAGUAACGCGUAGGUAACCUGCCUGGUAGCGGGGGAUAACUAUUGGAAACGAUAGCUAAUACCGCAUAAGAGUAGAUGUCGCAUGACAUUUGCUUAAAAGGUGCAACUGCACCACUACCAGAUGGACCUGCGUUGUAUUAGCUAGUUGGUGAGGUAACGGCUCACCAAGGCAACGAUACAUAGCCGACCUGAGAGGGUGAUCGGCCACACUGGGACUGAGACACGGCCCAGACUCCUACGGGAGGCAGCAGUAGGGAAUCUUCGGCAAUGGACGGAAGUCUGACCGAGCAACGCCGCGUGAGUGAAGAAGGUUUUCGGAUCGUAAAGCUCGGUUGUAAGAGAAGAACGAGUGUGAGAGUGGAAAGUUCACACUGUGACGGUAUCUUACUAGAAAGGGACGGCUAACUACGUG
Molecule: ribosomal RNA, 495 nt
Filed under: uncultured bacterium
Lineage: Bacteria
Description: partial 16S ribosomal RNA
Rfam family: Bacterial small subunit ribosomal RNA
Source: RNAcentral